Long non-coding RNA from Hibiscus syriacus, 618 nucleotides. RefSeq lists it as uncharacterized. The record is from RefSeq and is a predicted model, not a curated record. The transcript has 2 exons. NCBI's taxonomy places the organism in Eukaryota, Viridiplantae, Streptophyta, Magnoliopsida, Malvales, Malvaceae.
UGGAUUUAAAGGAAUUUAAUUUCCUUUUCAAGACAUGGCGAAAGUCUACUUCUGGUCAAAUUGCAACCACUUCCGGGUCUUUUUAUUCCAAGAAGUACUUGACUGGCUGUUUAUUGUCCAUGGAGCUUCUCUUUUGGUUUCCUUUGGUAAUUGCACUUAGUGCCCAACCUCUUUUUAGUACUCAAAACGUGAGUUGUAAUGAAUUUUAGUGCACUGUUGAUACAACAUCCAGUCAUGAGAAAACGCCUUCCAGGGCUUGUAGUGGAUUAUUGAAAGUUGCUUGCUAAGCAUUGGCAUUGGUAGUUAAUGUUUUGUUGUUGCUCCUGAUGGGUACCUGGUUUCUGAGGGGCCUUCUGCAAAUGUUUCUAUUUAGAAUACAUGAGUUAACCGCAAUUAAGACUUUGAACCAAGUGAUUGUAUCUUGAUCUUGGAAUCCUUCCUUCUGGCUGUAUCAGUAUGUUUUUUAAAGCUCAUCCAUUCCUAUUGUUGAUGCCUUCUUUUGGUCUUGAAGUUGCGGGUUUAGUACCAAAUAAGGCUUUGAAGCUCAUCCACCAUAAAAGUUCCGGUUUAUGUCAUUCCAUGUUUCCAGUGGAAAUUAAUGGUGGAUUUAUCUGAUCU